AUUAAAGUACAAGUACUCAAAGGAAUGGAUUUAAAAGCGUUAUAACGGCUAGUAAACCAAGUUCCUGGGGUGCAAUCUUCACCUCAUACCGCUCAUCCUUCAAUUCUUUCGAAUUCAUUGGAUCCUUUUCGGUGUUCGAGAAUCUCCCUUCUUCCACUCCGUGCGAGGCUGAGAGAUGGAAGCCGCGCAACAGCAAGAGCAGCAACAAUACCAUUCAUGGAAGCUGAAUGUCCGGGCCAAGGCUAAGAACUUGAAUUUCAAAUUGGUAGCCUCCAACUUCUUACCCAAUUGCAAGUAUUUCCCAUUUUCUCUCAGUCUCAAGUACUGCAGAUUCUUCAUCCAUCUGAAAUCUCAAACACAUACCUCUCCAAAUCGCAAGAAACCUAAAAUUUUCAAAUCAAAACUCCCUCGAUUUCUCCAGAGACUCCGUACUCGACAACGUUCCAAGAACAACAGAGUUAUCAGUUCCAAACCUAAGAACCUUAAGGCAACUAUUUCCCAGAGUUCAGUGGUGUUAGGAAACCUGACACUUUUCGUUCAGUCAAUCUAUCAGCAGGACAAAGAUGGAAUCUUUAUACUUGGUUCUAUUGUUUGUAUUUGCUUUGCUUGCUUAUUCAAAAAUUUCAUGGCAACAAAAGCUUGGACAUUCUUGGUUUUUGUAAUUGGUGCCCUAGUUUUUUGCUCAAAUGUGAUGCAUCUCAGAUUCAUAAGCCACUUUGAUCAUCACUAUCUGUCCGGAUUCUUGUGGAGGGCUUUCAAAAAUGCUGCCUCCUCUGCCUGUUUAUAUAUACUCUCUCAGGUGCUUACUACUAUAUCGAGACUAAUAUGACGUUUGUGCUCCUAGGGCGGAAUGGAACGGAAUUCAGAAGCAUUAAUGCUGUGGAACUGUCUAUUACUUUAAAACUAUCAUUUUGGGUCAAAGUAUAUUUUGAAUCUGAUUGUUCUAUUGAAAAUUUCAAGGUCAAAUUGUCCUCUUUAUUAGUAUAAUUUGUUCGCUACAAAGUCAAGUUAAAUGGUUUUACAUAAAUGUUACUCCUGCAUCAGACUCUAAAUUGUGAAACACUAGAGCACAUGGUGCAAAAAGUGCAUAAAUUAAGCAAAGAAUUUUUCUAGACUCAAGUAGACUCUCUGCUCAUUUCUGCUGUCACCUCUACCUUUAUUUAAGUCUCUUUAGUUUAAUUACAUGUUCUUUCCUAAGCAUGUUUAAAAAGUUAACUCCAACAGAUAUGAUCAUUUUGUCAAAGUGAAAAGGAGAUCAUUUGAAGAGCCAAAAAGAGAAGGAUUUUUGGUCACUACUCAAUAUGCACUGAACAGCUAGUAAAAUCAUUUAGCAUAAGCCCAUGAACAAAACGGUGCCCUGAAAAGAAAGAAAAAAACAUGACAAAUGGAGAAGUUUAAGUGAAACCUGAUCUUUUUGAAAAUGCUAUCGUUAGGGACCACAUAGAGCCAUUUCUUGAUAUUAAAUCAACAAGUUGUAAUCAGAAUUCCAAUGAAAGUGUGAAUCGGGCUUAUCCUGAAAAUCUUAGACAAAAAUCUGAAAGGCCAUAUUGUGAAACCAUUGGUCCUUAUGACAAAAAACAACUAGUCUUCCGGUUCCAAGUGGUGCUGCAGCUGAAGACUUAGAGAGUACUUAUAAAAUGGUCAAAUUAGGAUGAUUAUUUUUUGAAGUACCAUCUCAAGUUAGAUUAUUCCUCCAGUUUCAUUUCUUGAUAAGAAGAUCACUGGAACUGCAAUGUUUCUGGUUAGUGUCUACUUGUUUCGUGCUCUAAUUUUGUAAGAAACAAUGAAGAGAAGAAUGCACAAGAACAACAUGUUGUACUGGCUAAAAUUUUUCAAGAAAAUCAAUUGACACAGUGCACUUUGUAUUGAUUAAAUUCUACUGCAGCUAAAAUUGUGCCUACCCUGAAUACUGCAUGCCACUUAAAGUAGUAAAUGAAGAUGCAGGAAAUUGGAAUCCUUCUGAUCUACUAAAAUCUUUUAGAAGGACAAGAAUUUCCAUAAACAUUUUGGAUUAAAUGUAUUAAUUUGGUGCCACAACAAACAUUUAGUGAGGUACAAGGCUGAAUUACUAAACUAAUUCACAACAUCUUUCACCUACACCUAUCAGAUAUUCACGAAAGCAAAAUAUCCACAAAUCAGGCGACUGUUUGUAUCUUAGCUAUGUGGAGCAGCUGAAUUGUUCAGCACUUCAAGAUAGAUUUCUCUGAGAUAAAGUUGUGAUUAGAUAUGAAUUUAUUUUGAUAAAAUUGCUUGUUAAUAUUGAAGAUUUGCAAGUAGAAACUAGUAUUUUACUUGAAAUACACAGUCAAACCAGUAUUUCAAUGUUCAAACUUAAAAUUCUCGUACUGGAGUUCAGUAUUUACAGAUAUGCAGUUGCCGAAACUAGUGUUUGCAAAUGUAAAGGUUUACUGAUACUGAAAUAUUUGGUUGAAGUUGGAAAAUAUUGGGUCGACUAUAUGAAGUUAGGAGUUGAAAAUAUCCAGGGACCAGCUUCCGCUUUCCCCAGAAUUCUUGGUCAUGAAGCAGCUGGUGUGGUGGAGAGUGUAGAGGAAAAUGUGGAGGAAGUGAAAGAAGGGGACAUAGUGAUACCAGUAUUUCAAAGGAAUUGUGGAGAAUGUAGAGAUUGCAAGUACCCAAAGGGGAAUAUUUGUUCAAAAUUUCCAGAGGACUUUUACUGUGGGAUGCCAAGUGAUGGAAGCAGCCAAGGAUAAAAAUGGAGAAAAAUUGCACCAUACAUUGCCAGUAUCCAGCUUUUCUGAGUAUACACAGUUGUGGAUGUCACACAAGUUGUGUAGAUGAGUCCUGAUUUUCCCGUUGAUGAGGCUUAUUUACUUUCUCGUGGAGUUUCUACAGGAUUGGGAGCUGCAUGGAAAGUUGCAGAAGUUGAAGAAGGUUCAACUGUGGCAAUAUUUGGUCUUGGAGCCGUGGGCCUAGCGGUAACUCGUCGCACAAGGAGCUUACGUGGAGCUUCAAAAAUAAUAGGUGUCGAUUUAAAUCCAGAAAAAUCUGAAAUUGGGAAGAAGUUUGGACUAACAGAUUUUAUUAACCCUACAACCUGUCGCGAGAAAUCAAUUAGCCAGACAAUAAAAGAAAUGAGUGAUGGUGGAGCUGACUACUGCUUUGAGUGUAUUGGACUGGCCUCCUGAAUGCAAGAGGCUUUUAAUAGUUCUCGCAAGCAUUACAUCAGCCAAACUCUCUCUGUAUCAAAUUUCACGUCUCUUUUCUCCGAUGAACUUUCCCGCAAAACCAGUCAACGCAUCAAGCCUACACCGGCGUUCCAGUUUCUGGUAAGUGACACUGAUUUUCAGAGAGUAUUUCAGCUCUCUUCUCUUGUCUUUACGACCCUUCUUCAGGAGGCGACAUCAAGAUUCCACAUUUUAUGGCGACCAGCAUAUUCUCCGGCGACCAAUUAUAGGGACACGACACAACAGUAUGGUAAAGAAAGCGACAGAAAAUUUCGGCAACCAAUUUGCCGAAAUUCAACAAAACGAUCAAGAGAACGUCCAUCACUACGAGUAUAA
RNA transcript from Capsicum annuum, 3521 nucleotides. It is a transcript of the gene named alcohol dehydrogenase-like 1, with no coding region annotated. The transcript is spliced from 8 exons. The record is from RefSeq and is a predicted model, not a curated record. Lineage: Eukaryota; Viridiplantae; Streptophyta; Magnoliopsida; Solanales; Solanaceae.